RNAcentral lists this ribosomal RNA (200 nucleotides) under uncultured bacterium. RNAcentral's name for it is "partial 16S ribosomal RNA". It matches the Rfam family "Bacterial small subunit ribosomal RNA", at positions 524 to 723 of the family's 1533-position model. The record is from RNAcentral.
UACUAAAGGUGCAAGCGUUAAUCGGAAUUACUGGGCGUAAAGCGCGCGUAGGUGGUUUGUCAAGUUGGAUGUGAAAGCCCAGGGCUCAACCUUGGAACAGCGUCCAAAACUGGCUCACUAGAGUACGAGAGAGGUUAGUGGAAUUUCCAGUGUAGCGGUGAAAUGCGUAGAGAUUGGAAGGAACAUCAGUGGCGAAGGCG